This is a long non-coding RNA of Scaptodrosophila lebanonensis, 355 nucleotides long. RefSeq lists it as uncharacterized. The record is from RefSeq and is a predicted model, not a curated record. The transcript is spliced from 2 exons. Lineage: Eukaryota; Metazoa; Arthropoda; Insecta; Diptera; Drosophilidae.
UUGGAAAGAACUCUUACAUGUACCGAAACUCUCUAAAUUGAAGCAAAUCCAUUUUUGCAAUGCAGCGUCUUCUUACAUUGGUAGUUGGCGGUAUUAUUGGGUACCUUAUCGCCAAGAACGUACGUUAAGGAAAUCACUAUUUUUUCAGCGGUUUCACAAACGAAGCACGAAGCAUGACUCACGUCAUUUCAUUUGCUUUAGGCGUUAUUAUCGGAAUGUUAAUGUGCCGUCGUUGCGGUGGGCCCUAAGAAGCAACUGGUAACUGAAUCAUGCUGAAAAACAACUCAAACUUUACCGCUAUGGUCUACCUAUAUAGCUAAUAAAUCUGAAUGCAUUCAAUCUAAAAUUCAAUCAA